RNAcentral lists this ribosomal RNA (468 nucleotides) under uncultured bacterium. Its description in RNAcentral is "partial 16S ribosomal RNA". It matches the Rfam family "Bacterial small subunit ribosomal RNA", at positions 28 to 507 of the family's 1533-position model. The record is from RNAcentral.
GACGAACGCUGGCGGCGUGCUUAACACAUGCAAGUCGAACGGAAAGGCCCUGCUUUUGUGGGGUGCUCGAGUGGCGAACGGGUGAGUAACACGUGAGUAACCUGCCCUUGACUUUGGGAUAACUUCAGGAAACUGGGGCGAAUACCGGAUAGGAGCUCCUGCUGCAUGUGGGGGGUUGGAAAGUUUCGGCUGUUGGGGCUGGAUUCGCGGCUUAUCAGCUUGUUGGUGGGGUAGGGGCUUACCAAGCCUUUGACGGGUAGCCGGCCUGAGAGGGUGGCCGGCCACCAUGGGACUGCGAUACGGACCAGAAUCCUACGGGCGGCAGCAGUGGGGAACAUUGCACAAUGGGCGGAAGCCUGAUGCAGCAACGCCGCGUGCGGGAUGACGGCUUUCGGGUUGUAAACCGCUUUCGACUGUGACGAAGAGUGAGUGACGGUAAUGGGUAAAGAAGCACCGGCUAACUACGUG